This 253-nucleotide ribosomal RNA is filed under the name uncultured bacterium. RNAcentral's name for it is "partial 16S ribosomal RNA". It matches the Rfam family "Bacterial small subunit ribosomal RNA", at positions 524 to 776 of the family's 1533-position model. The record is from RNAcentral.
UACGUAAGGGGCAAGCGUUGUCCGGAAUCACUGGGCGUAAAGCGCACGUAGGCGGCGCAGCAAGUCAGGGGUGCAAGCUCCAGGCCUAACCUGGAAACUGCCUCUGAAACUACUGUGCUUGAGGGUCAGAGGGGAAACUGGAAUUCACGGUGUAGCGGUGAAAUGCGUAGAUAUCGUGGAGAACACCCGUGGCGAAGGCGGGUUUCUGGCUGACAACUGACGCUGAGGUGCGAAAGCGUGGGGAGCAAACAGG